ACGGAAGGCAGCAGUGGGGAAUAUUGGGCAAUGGGCGAAAGCCUGACCCAGCAACGCCGCGUGAAGGAAGAAGGUUUUCGGAUUGUAAACUUCUUUUAUCAGGGACGAAGAAAGUGACGGUACCUGAUGAAUAAGCCACGGCUAACUACGUGCCAGCAGCCGCGGUAAUACGUAGGUGGCAAGCGUUAUCCGGAUUUACUGGGUGCAAAGGGCGCGUAGGCGGGGAUGCAAGUCGGGUGUGAAAUCUAUGGGCUUAACCCAUAAACUGCAUUCGAAACUGUAUCUCUUGAGUGUCGGAGAGGUAGACGGAAUUCCUAGUGUAGCGGUGAAAUGCGUAGAUAUUAGGAGGAACACCAGUGGCGAAGGCGGUCUACUGGACGAUAACUGACGCUGAGGCGCGAAAGCGUGGGGAGCAAACAGGAUUAGAUACCCUGGUA
This 437-nucleotide ribosomal RNA is filed under the name uncultured Oscillospiraceae bacterium. Its description in RNAcentral is "partial 16S ribosomal RNA". It matches the Rfam family "Bacterial small subunit ribosomal RNA", at positions 341 to 792 of the family's 1533-position model. Lineage: Bacteria; Bacillati; Bacillota; Clostridia; Eubacteriales; Oscillospiraceae. The record is from RNAcentral.